GUGAAGGUGUGUGGUCUACGAUUGGUUGAUUUAGGGUUCAUUGUUUUUGAUUUUGCAGACUGAUUUGGUACUUUUUACUCUCACGCAGAGAUAAAAUUUGCCCUAGUGCUCAAAAUGCCUCUCACCAGCCCAUCUCUAUUUGGGCUUCAUUGUUCGAGUGAGGUUUUUGUUAGGCAGUCGAUUAAAAGGAGGGAGGGGUCAAUGGUCUUCUAUUGCCAUUUAAAACCCUGAAGCUCUUUUGUUGCUGCCGUUGCUGGAGUUGCUAGACAGCAUGAAGUACAGAGUGUUCGAGUGAAAACCCAGAAGUAAUGAAACCGAUCCAUUCGUGGUUUAUACGAGUCCUCGAAGCCGGUGUGAGCCAUAGACUGAAUGGGUAGAAAUCUAAAACAAAAACCCCCAAAUUGGUUCUUCGAAUAAGAGCAUAAUCUGUUGCCCCUCGUUCACAAUCAUCCCGGAAUGACUGUUGAGUGAGCUACGAUAUGGCACAAUCAACCUGACCGGUAAUCCUCGUGGAGGGAAAGGUUGAUCAUUUAUACCUCAAUAUUCUAUCAUGCAUCAGUCAUCACAAGACAACUUUACCUAUCGGUUGUCCUUAAUUGGAGUAGUUUAGCUAGUUUAGUUCAUUCAGUCUGCAUGUUUAGUUCUAGUUUUUGUUCUAGUUUCCGUUUAAAUCAUGAAAGUGAAAUCAAAAUGAAGGCUUUUGAUAUAGUGAAUGUUUGAACAAGAGUAAGUCUUUCAUAGGCCGAUAAAAAAAAAAAGGUCUUCCAUAGUAUUGAUUUGGUUCAAUUCUGAAGUGUGUUUGUCUUAUACAUGUUUCCAGAUUAUAUUGCUUAAUUAACAUAUUUCAAUGGAUGAUAUUGUUUAGUUGACAUUUGCCAUCUAUUUACCUUACAUCCAUGCUAAUGGCUACUCCACACCGAGGUUGAGCCAUGAUGAUUGAGGCUGAUGUAAUACUCCGCUCCGAGGUUAACUCAUGCAAAAAUAUGGUGCAUUUUGUGGCAAACAUUUGACUCGGCGAGGUACUUUAGCAUGUGCAACUCAAUUAUAUAAAAUGGGCCUCUUUCACUGACAGCUUCAAGUUAUCCCCUUCUUAUUUUUGCAAACUGAUUCAUAUCCCCUAUAACUUCCUUGCCAGCUUACAAUUAAGACUGGGACACAACCUAAGGGCUCUCAAUCCGUAAGAAUAUUACACAAUCUGUAUAAUAUCCCUUCCUUGCAUCGGCAGAGUUUAAGCUAGUUCUCUCUCUACUUAGAUCUGUUUAUUUAUCAUUGCGUAUAUAUCCGUCUAUCAGAAUUUUGUCCCUUGUCAAUUUCUUGACCUUAAAUUAGGGUUUGGUAAAAUCAAGAUACUCAAUCCAAGGGAAUAUGAGGCAAAUUGUCAUUAAACUGCUAGAGCUGGGAAUGAUUUAGUAUAAUCUUAGAGCUGGGGAGUUCCUGUUCAUGAUGACAAGUAUGUUACCGUCACCGAUGCUUUUAAGUCAGAUGGAAUUCCUUUCUUUCUUUUUUUUUUGUGAACCAAAUUUCCCAUUUAAUAUUGCAGGAAACUCUUUGAAUUGCUCGUCGUGUCCACUGCUUUUGCUGAACUGUCAUGGCUUGCCAUUCUCAGCAAAAGGAAUGCGUUUAGGGAAGUCUUUCUGGACUUCAACCAAAAUGCAGUCGCUAAAUUGAAUGAGAAAAAGAUACUCCAGCAAGCACUCUUAUAUCAGAGGUGAAGCUACGAGCUACCAUUGAAAAUGCACGUCAAAUGAGCAAAGUAAGUAAGGAAAUGGAGUUGCUUUUUGGAAGCUAACCAAGAUGGAGUUGAAGACUUUUUGGCAGUUAUUUUUGAAAGCUGACCAAGAUGGAGAUGGAGUUGAAGACUUUUUGGUAGUUAUUUUUGGAAGCUAACCAAGAUGGAGUAAAUGGAACACUUGUUUUGAAUUCUUUUUGGAUAUGGAUGUUCUGUAGUUUCGGUAAUGUUAAGUUUGAAGUGGUUAUUGUUGGAGGAUGAAUGUUUUGAAACGUUUUGAAGUUGGAUGAUGAAUGUUGACUUAAUGGAUAUUUGAUUUAAAUGAUAUUUUGCUUCUUCGCAAUUUAA
Rhododendron vialii is the source of this 2077-nucleotide long non-coding RNA. RefSeq lists it as uncharacterized. The transcript has 6 exons. NCBI's taxonomy places the organism in Eukaryota, Viridiplantae, Streptophyta, Magnoliopsida, Ericales, Ericaceae. The record is from RefSeq and is a predicted model, not a curated record.